GUGAUUACCACUGUCCACAGACUAUUCACCAUGGACAUGGAGAUUACCUGGAUUUUCCUUGUCUUUAUUUUUAAAGGUGUCCAGAGUGAAGUGCAUCUGGUGGAGUCUGGAGGAGGCUUGGUGUAGCCUGGAAAGUCCCUGAAACUCUCCUGUGCAGCCUCUGGAUUCACCUUCAGUGACUAUAGAAUGCACUGGGUCCGCCAGGCUCCAGGGAAGGGGCUGGAGUGGGUCGCAGACAUUGAAUAUGAUGGAAGUAGCAUCUACUAUGCCGACGCCGUGAAGGGCCGGUUCACCAUCUCCAGAGACAACGCCAAGAACACCCUCUACCUGCAAAUGAACAGUCUGAGGUCUGAGGACACGGCCACAUAUUACUGUGCAGCAGACACAGUGAGGAGGUUCCUGAAAGUGAUGAAGGAGUCCUCGAGGCACAGGUAUCCCACAGACCCCAGCCUCCCAAUGAUGCUCUGCCCCAGCGUCACUGCAGAGUUUAACUCAUUGAAUGAGAAGCUCCAAGACGUUGACUCAGCACAUGGAUAUUACAGGACUCUCAUCACAGAACCAAUAGAAAUGAAUCUGAAUUUGGUGCACAGUGAACACACCAUACUUCAGUGGACUUCAGUUGAGCCAUGGAAGGAAACCAGCAUGGAUAAAUCGGUUCUCAUCUGA
Psammomys obesus (fat sand rat) is the source of this 666-nucleotide non-coding RNA. Lineage: Eukaryota; Metazoa; Chordata; Mammalia; Rodentia; Muridae. The record is from the annotation of a RefSeq genome assembly.